UCCUCUUCGUUAUCAGUCCCGAACUCAUCAGACGAGCUCGAGACUACAUUGACUGGCUUCUUGGAAGUGGCCACCGAUGCAUGCUCAGGAGAAGAGCCCUCGGGUAGUGGGACCUCUACUGACAUAUGAGUGUGGGAGGGUUCGUACUCACUCCCUGUAUUUGCUUUCCUCCAUGUUUUUGCACCAUUGUCUGCAAAGAAUAAACAUCAAAUGUUGUUAGUAGAAGCACAUAAGGAGAAACAGAUAGUUCGAGUUUCAUUUCAAAGUUUCAAAAAUUAUGUUGCAGACAGG
This 291-nucleotide long non-coding RNA is filed under the name Nicotiana benthamiana. RNAcentral's name for it is "long non-coding RNA (NBEN_LNC022851)". Lineage: Eukaryota; Viridiplantae; Streptophyta; Magnoliopsida; Solanales; Solanaceae. The record is from RNAcentral.